UACGGGGGGGGCAAGCGUUGUUCGGAAUUACUGGGCGUAAAGGGCGCGUAGGCGGCCUUCUAAGUCGGACGUGAAAUCCCUCGGCUCAACCGAGGAACUGCGUCUGAUACUGGAAGGCUUGAAUCCGGGAGAGGGAUGUGGAAUUCCAGGUGUAGCGGUGAAAUGCGUAGAUAUCUGGAGGAACACCGGUGGCGAAGGCGGCGUUCUGGACUGUUACUGACACUGAGGAACGAAAGCCAGGGGAGCAAACGGG
RNAcentral lists this ribosomal RNA (253 nucleotides) under uncultured bacterium. Its description in RNAcentral is "partial 16S ribosomal RNA". It matches the Rfam family "Bacterial small subunit ribosomal RNA", at positions 524 to 776 of the family's 1533-position model. The record is from RNAcentral.